GGGAAUAUGGCUUAGUGGUAGAGUGCUUGCCUAACAUGCAUGAAGCCCUGGGUUCAAUUCCUCAGUACCA
Molecule: transfer RNA, 70 nt
Filed under: Dipodomys ordii (Ord's kangaroo rat)
Lineage: Eukaryota; Metazoa; Chordata; Mammalia; Rodentia; Heteromyidae
Rfam family: tRNA
About the family: Transfer RNA (tRNA) molecules are approximately 80 nucleotides in length. Their secondary structure includes four short double-helical elements and three loops (D, anti-codon, and T loops).
Source: Rfam by way of RNAcentral